CCGAGGGUUGGGAAACGCCGGGGAUGGCUCAACCCCCGCGGGCCAUCCCGGGACGGGAUAAAAAGCUCCCGGCUCCCAAUUCCUCCCAUCCCAGCUCCGGAUUCCUGAGAUUUCAGCUCCUCGGGCUUCUCCUCUUGGGGAUCUGACAGUUCCAGCUCUCUCCUGCCAGGAUGUCCUUCUCCAGCCAGCUCAGCUCCCGCUGCUCCGCGCCCUGCGCCGUGUCCUGCCCCCAGCCCUGCGCCGACACCUGGAACCAGCCCUGUGUCACCUCCUGCGGGGACUCCCGGGCUGUCAUCCACCCUCCACCCGUGGUCAUCACCUUCCCGGGGCCCAUCCUCAGCUCCUGCCCCCAGGAGAGCAUCGUGGGCUCCGCAUUCCCCGCGGGAAUGGAGCGCCCCGCGGGCCUGCAGGGCUCCCUGCUCUACGGAGGCUUCCUCUCCUCCUCCAGGAGCGCCUGGAGCCAGCGCUCCGGGGGCUGCGGGCCCUGCUGAACCGGGAAAGGGGUGGGGAAACCUGGGGGAGCUGCAGCAGGAGCUGGGGCAGGGGCUGAGAGGGGGGACACGGCUCUGUGGGGCUGGGAGAGGGUCAGAAUCCAUGGGAAAUGUUCAGGAUCCUUGGGAACUGCUCAGAAUCCAUGGAAAAUGUUCAGAACCUGUGGGAACUGCUCAGAAUCCAUGGAAAAUGUUCAGAACCUGUGGGAACUGCUCAGAAUCAAUGGGAAAUUAUCAGAAUCCAUGGGAAUUGUUCAGGAUACAUGGGAAAUAUUCAGGAUCCAUGGGAAAUGUUCAGAACCUGUGGGAACUGCUCAGAAUCAAUGGAAAAUGUUCAGGAUCCAUGGGAAUUGUUCAGGAUCCAUGGGAAUUGUUCAGGAUCCAUGGGAAAUGUUCAGAACCUGUGGGAAUUGUUCAGAAUCCAUGGGAAACCCUCAGCAUCCAUGCAAACCCCUCAGCACCCCCGGGAGCUGCUCCUCCUCUCCCCCUUCUUGUUUUUAAUGUCACUUUUCUCCGAAUUUGCCUCUUCCCUCCUCAAACCCUGAAUUGUUUGCCCACUUUUAUCCCAAUAAACUUCUGUGUUUGCAUUCAAA
Haemorhous mexicanus (house finch) is the source of this 1084-nucleotide long non-coding RNA. RefSeq lists it as uncharacterized. The transcript is spliced from 2 exons. The record is from RefSeq and is a predicted model, not a curated record. NCBI's taxonomy places the organism in Eukaryota, Metazoa, Chordata, Aves, Passeriformes, Fringillidae.